Molecule: ribosomal RNA, 623 nt
Filed under: Salmonella enterica
Lineage: Bacteria; Pseudomonadati; Pseudomonadota; Gammaproteobacteria; Enterobacterales; Enterobacteriaceae
Description: partial 23S ribosomal RNA
Rfam family: Bacterial large subunit ribosomal RNA
Source: RNAcentral
UGUUUGAUGUUCUAACGUGGACCCGUAAUCCGGGUUGCGGACAGUGUCUGGUGGGUAGUUUGACUGGGGCGGUCUCCUCCUAAAGAGUAACGGAGGAGCACGAAGGUUGGCUAAUCCUGGUCGGACAUCAGGAGGUUAGUGCAAUGGCAUAAGCCAGCUUGACUGCGAGCGUGACGGCGCGAGCAGGUGCGAAAGCAGGUCAUAGUGAUCCGGUGGUUCUGAAUGGAAGGGCCAUCGCUCAACGGAUAAAAGGUACUCCGGGGAUAACAGGCUGAUACCGCCCAAGAGUUCAUAUCGACGGCGGUGUUUGGCACCUCGAUGUCGGCUCAUCACAUCCUGGGGCUGAAGUAGGUCCCAAGGGUAUGGCUGUUCGCCAUUUAAAGUGGUACGCGAGCUGGGUUUAGAACGUCGUGAGACAGUUCGGUCCCUAUCUGCCGUGGGCGCUGGAGAACUGAGGGGGGCUGCUCCUAGUACGAGAGGACCGGAGUGGACGCAUCACUGGUGUUCGGGUUGUCAUGCCAAUGGCACUGCCCGGUAGCUAAAUGCGGAAGAGAUAAGUGCUGAAAGCAUCUAAGCACGAAACUUGCCCCGAGAUGAGUUCUCCCUGAGACUUAGAGUCUCCU